Molecule: long non-coding RNA, 1243 nt
Filed under: Equus caballus (horse)
Lineage: Eukaryota; Metazoa; Chordata; Mammalia; Perissodactyla; Equidae
Description: lncRNA (ENSECAG00000059302.1)
Source: RNAcentral
CAGACCUCGCCCUAUGCGUCUCUUCCAUCUGCUGUUCCUGAGUUAUAUUCGUUCAUAAUAAACCUGUGAUCUGGAAGACUCAAGUGGUCUCUGAAUUUUUCCUGGAAAACAAAAGUGGCCUUCAGAGGUCAAGCGGAGAGAAGUGACCGGAAUUUGCACUGCAUGAGCAUCGCUCCAUUCACAGGAAGAUAAUCAGUGGCUAUUUGGGGUUACCUGUCACGGGGGGACGUUUGCCAGAAGGAUCGGGGUCCCUGAGAGCCUUUUCUUUUGUGGCUGAAGUUAAAAAACAGCUGGAGGACGAGCGUCCCCGCUCAGCUGAUGUCGCAGUGUUGAAUAACUUCGUCUCAGGAGGUGAACACUCCGCGUUGCAAAAGUGACUGAAGCUUCAGUUCACAGACCGGAGUCUGGUGAGGGCGGAAUCCAAACUGUGAGAGGGUGACCCUCAUGUUGAGCAUCUCCCGGGCGCAGUCCUGUCUGCAGCUGGAGCGGUGGCGCCUCAUGCCUGUGCCUUCGUCAUCCCAGCAGAACCCAGGAGGGGAGCGCUGUUCCUCCUGCUGGGACGGUGUGGGCAGUCCUGCGUCAAUCAGUAAGCCUCCUGCUGUUAGGAAAAUAACCUGAGAUGAGUUAAAAACCAAAACAGUGAAGCGUCAAGACUCCAAACAAGCAGAAUAACAAGUAGUUGUAACACCCACCAGGCGCCUCAAAACCGGCAGCAGAGCCAGCGUCUGCCCUGCGUUCCUGCUUCAGAGAGGACGUCGCCGGGGCCUGGGGAGGCCACCGUCACCCGGAGCGAAGAUGGCCAGUGACAACCUGCCCGGUGGCCUGACAGGAAGGUAUGGAGAAGCGGCAGAGGAUGUCAUUUCUAUUACGGAUCAGCAGUGAUUCUGUGAAUCUACACGGAAAAGUAACCGAAUCAGAGGUUUUGGGGUGCCCACGUCUGUGGGGAAUUGUCCCAGCACCUUCUGCAGAGUCAGGAGGUCUGGGACCCUGACGCGGCUGCGUCCACAUUUCUGACGGUCUGGGCGCACACACACGUAUUUAUGUAAAUCCUGACUACAGACCCCAGUGAAUUAUCAUGAAGUGAACACAGGCACGUGAUGCCCCCGGGGCAAGAAAUGGGGCGUUUCCAGCACGACAGAGUCUCACCUGGUCCUGCCUCAAACCACGCCACGCUUCCGUCCAAGGCCUCUGUCUGACUUCUGACACUGCGGCUUAUUUUGAAUCCUUACAAAAUACAACAAAC